UACGUAGGGGGCAAGCGUUGUCCGGAAUCAUUGGGCGUAAAGAGCGUGUAGGCGGUCCGGUAAGUCCGCUGUAAAAGUCAAGGGCUCAACCCUUGAAAGCCGGUGGAUACUGCCGGGCUAGAGUCCGGAAGAGGCGAGUGGAACUCCUGGUGUAGCGGUGAAAUGCGCAGAUAUCAGGAGGAACACCAAUGGCGAAGGCAGCUCGCUGGGACGUGACUGACGCUGAGACGCGAAAGCGUGGGGAGCAAACAGG
RNAcentral lists this ribosomal RNA (253 nucleotides) under uncultured bacterium. Its description in RNAcentral is "partial 16S ribosomal RNA". It matches the Rfam family "Bacterial small subunit ribosomal RNA", at positions 524 to 776 of the family's 1533-position model. The record is from RNAcentral.